RNAcentral lists this unclassified non-coding RNA (201 nucleotides) under Hevea brasiliensis (rubber tree). Lineage: Eukaryota; Viridiplantae; Streptophyta; Magnoliopsida; Malpighiales; Euphorbiaceae. The record is from RNAcentral.
AAAAAUCUGUUUUUGUACUCGUUCUCUUUCGAUAGCCAGCUGCAUGACCAAAUCCAUUAUAAAACUGGUUUUGAUGUUAAUGUCUUUUGCACUAGCAAGUUUCUCAACGGUAGCUUGAUUCAAAGAAGUCUCCAAUCCUUCGACUCUUGAUCUUAGAAACUCUACUUCUUGGGUAAGUUCUAAAUUAGUUUCCGACAAAAU